AGAGUUUGAUCCUGGCUCAGGAUGAACGCUGGCGGCGUGCUUAACACAUGCAAGUCGAACGAACCUUCGGGUUAGUGGCGGACGGGUGAGUAACGCGUGAGAAUCUGCCCUCAGGAGGGGGAUAACGGUUGGAAACGACCGCUAAUACCCCAUAUGCCGAUAGGUGAAAUGAAUUUCGCCUGAGGAUGAGCUCGCGUCUGAUUAGCUUGUUGGUGAGGUAAUGGCUCACCAAGGCUUCGAUCAGUAGCUGGUCUGAGAGGAUGAUCAGCCACACUGGGACUGAGACACGGCCCAGACUCCUACGGGAGGCAGCAGUGGGGAAUUUUCCGCAAUGGGCGAAAGCCUGACGGAGCAACGCCGCGUGAGGGACGAAGGCCUCUGGGCUGUAAACCUCUUUUCUCAAGGAAGAAGAUAUGACGGUACUUGAGGAAUAAGCCACGGCUAAUUCCGUGCCAGCAGCCGCGGUAAUACGGGAGUGGCAAGCGUUAUCCGGAAUUAUUGGGCGUAAAGCGUCCGCAGGCGGCCUUUCAAGUCUGCUGUUAAAGCAUGGAGCUUAACUCCAUCAUGGCGGUGGAAACUGAUAGGCUUGAGUAUGGUAGGGGCAGAGGGAAUUCCCGGUGUAGCGGUGAAAUGCGUAGAUAUCGGGAAGAACACCAGUGGCGAAGGCGCUCUGCUGGGCCAUUACUGACGCUCAUGGACGAAAGCCAGGGGAGCGAAAGGGAUUAGAUACCCCUGUAGUCCUGGCCGUAAACGAUGAACACUAGGUGUCGGGGGAAUCGACCCCUUCGGUGUCGUAGCUAACGCGUUAAGUGUUCCGCCUGGGGAGUACGCACGCAAGUGUGAAACUCAAAGGAAUUGACGGGGGCCCGCACAAGCGGUGGAGUAUGUGGUUUAAUUCGAUGCAACGCGAAGAACCUUACCAGGGUUUGACAUCCUGCGAACCUCUUAGAAAUUUGAGGGUGCCUUCGGGAAUGCAGUGACAGGUGGUGCAUGGCUGUCGUCAGCUCGUGUCGUGAGAUGUUGGGUUAAGUCCCGCAACGAGCGCAACCCACGUUUUUAGUUGCCAGCAUUUAGUUGGGCACUCUAGAAAGACCGCCGGUGAUAAACCGGAGGAAGGUGUGGAUGACGUCAAGUCAUCAUGCCCCUUACACCCUGGGCUACACACGUACUACAAUGCUACGGACAAAGGGCAGCAAACUCGCGAGAGCUAGCAAAUCCCAUAAACCGUGGCUCAGUUCAGAUCGUAGGCUGCAACUCGCCUACGUGAAGUAGGAAUCGCUAGUAAUCGCAGGUCAGCAUACUGCGGUGAAUACGUUCCCGGGCCUUGUACACACCGCCCGUCACACCAUGGAAGUUGGCCAUGCCCGAAGUCGUUACUCCAACCCUUGUGGAGGAGGACGCCGAAGGUGGGGCUAAUGACUGGGGUGAAGUCGUAACAAGGUAGCCGUACCGGAAGGUGCGGCUG
This 1465-nucleotide ribosomal RNA is filed under the name Prochlorococcus sp. AG-402-L18. Its description in RNAcentral is "bacterial SSU rRNA". It matches the Rfam family "Bacterial small subunit ribosomal RNA". Lineage: Bacteria; Bacillati; Cyanobacteriota; Cyanophyceae; Synechococcales; Prochlorococcaceae. The record is from RNAcentral.